UCCUAGUUAGCUCAGUUGGUAGAGUUGGUUUGAGCGCUCCACUAGAAAUAGAGAGGUCCAUGGUUCGAUACCAGGACCAGGCG
Molecule: transfer RNA, 83 nt
Filed under: Ixodes scapularis (black-legged tick)
Lineage: Eukaryota; Metazoa; Arthropoda; Arachnida; Ixodida; Ixodidae
Description: tRNA-Ser for anticodon AGA
Source: RNAcentral